RNAcentral lists this ribosomal RNA (253 nucleotides) under uncultured bacterium. RNAcentral's name for it is "partial 16S ribosomal RNA". It matches the Rfam family "Bacterial small subunit ribosomal RNA", at positions 524 to 776 of the family's 1533-position model. The record is from RNAcentral.
UACGAAGGGGGCUAGCGUUGCUCGGAAUGACUGGGCGUAAAGGGCGCGUAGGCGGAGUGCUUUGUCGGGCGUGAAAUUCCAGGGCUCAACCUUGGGGCUGCGUUCGAGACGGGCAUUCUAGAGUGCGGCAGAGGGAGAUGGAAUUCCGCGUGUAGCAGUGAAAUGCGUAGAUAUGCGGAGGAACACCGAUGGCGAAGGCAAUCUCCUGGGCCUGCACUGACGCUCAUGCACGAAAGCGUGGGGAGCAAACAGG